GACGAACGCUGGCGGCGUGCCUAAUACAUGCAAGUAGAACGCUGAAGAGAGGAGCUUGCUCUUCUUGGAUGAGUUGCGAACGGGUGAGUAACGCGUAGGUAACCUGCCUUGUAGCGGGGGAUAACUAUUGGAAACGAUAGCUAAUACCGCAUAACAAUGGAUGACACAUGUCAUUUAUUUGAAAGGGGCAAUUGCUCCACUACAAGAUGGACCUGCGUUGUAUUAGCUAGUAGGUGAGGUAACGGCUCACCUAGGCGACGAUACAUAGCCGACCUGAGAGGGUGCUCGGCCACACUGGGACUGAGACACGGCCCAGACUCCUACGGGAGGCAGCAGUAGGGAAUCUUCGGUAAUGGGGGCAACCCUGACCGAGCAACGCCGCGUGAGUGAAGAAGGUUUUCGGAUCGUAAAGCUCUGUUGUAAGUCAAGAACGAGUGUGAGAGUGGAAAGUUCACACUGUGACGGUAGCUUACCAGAAAGGGACGGCUAACUACGUG
RNAcentral lists this ribosomal RNA (497 nucleotides) under uncultured bacterium. Its description in RNAcentral is "partial 16S ribosomal RNA". It matches the Rfam family "Bacterial small subunit ribosomal RNA", at positions 28 to 507 of the family's 1533-position model. The record is from RNAcentral.